This 253-nucleotide ribosomal RNA is filed under the name uncultured bacterium. RNAcentral describes it as "partial 16S ribosomal RNA". It matches the Rfam family "Bacterial small subunit ribosomal RNA", at positions 524 to 776 of the family's 1533-position model. The record is from RNAcentral.
GACAGAGGUCUCAAGCGUUAGGCGGAAUCACUGGGCUUAAAGCGUGUGUAGGCGGAUCGUUAAGUGUCUUGUGAAAUCCCACGGCUCACCCGGGGAACGGCUGGGCAUACUGGCGAUCUUGGGCCAACUAGGGGCAACUGGAACAAGCGGUGGAGCGGUGAAAUGCGUAGAUAUCGCUUGGAACGCCGAAGGUGAAAACAGGUUGCUGGGGUUGUGCCGACGCUGAGACACGAAAGCCAGGGGAGCAAACGGG